UCAUCUUCUCUGGUAAGCUGGACUGCUGGAGCAAACCAUGGUGGGCGCAGGGGGUGAACUUGGCCGUGGCCCCUUCCUCGGGCACCUUCUCUCUCGCACAUGCAUCAUUGAGCAAGUCGAAUAACUCAGCCUCGCACUUCCUCGCCAGACCAGAUUCAUGGCAAGCGGCUGUCCGGUGAAGUUGGCCGAGCAGGUGGAGCGGGUCGACCCUGGAUCCAAGCGAGGACUGGACGCUCGCCGGCCCCGACGACCACUGCUGCAAAACUUUCUUUCCCCUCUCGUUCAGGGACUUCACGAACAAGAAGCAGCUAGAGAUUCUACAUGCAGGAAUUCAUAGAUCAUUAGAUUAGGAAUUCGUGCACUUGUUCAAUUGAUCCUCUGCUUCGCCCUCUGGGUUACAAGUUUGUUAUCUACCUGUGAUUGAUUUUCUUUGAUGCGCUUUCAGAUGACGCAGUUUAUUUUCUGAAUUUCUAAGUCGAUAAUUGAUUCAUUAAAAUUACGCAA
Lolium perenne is the source of this 504-nucleotide long non-coding RNA. RefSeq lists it as uncharacterized. The record is from RefSeq and is a predicted model, not a curated record. NCBI's taxonomy places the organism in Eukaryota, Viridiplantae, Streptophyta, Magnoliopsida, Poales, Poaceae.